RNAcentral lists this ribosomal RNA (613 nucleotides) under Porocottus camtschaticus. Its description in RNAcentral is "partial large subunit ribosomal RNA". It matches the Rfam family "Bacterial large subunit ribosomal RNA", at positions 1796 to 2616 of the family's 2925-position model. The record is from RNAcentral. Lineage: Eukaryota; Metazoa; Chordata; Actinopteri; Perciformes; Cottidae.
UCGCCUGUUUAUCAAAAACAUCGCCUCUUGCAAAACUCAGAAAUAAGAGGUCCCGCCUGCCCUGUGACUAUUUGUUUAACGGCCGCGGUAUUUUGACCGUGCGAAGGUAGCGCAAUCUGUUGUCUUUUAGAUGGAGACCCGUAUGAAUGGCAUAACGAGGGCUUAACUGUCUCCUCUUUCAAGUCAAUGAAGUUGAUCUCCCCGUGCAGAAGCGGGGAUAAAAACAUAAGACGAGAAGACCCUAUGGAGCUUUAGACACCAAGAUAGCCCAUGUUAAAGACCCUAGAUAAAGGACUAAACCAAAUGGGCCCUACCCUAAUGUCUUUGGUUGGGGCGACCGCGGGGAAUUAAAGAACCCCCACGUGGAAUGGGAACACUCUUCCUACAACCAAGAGCUACAGCUCUAGUAAACAGAAAUUCUGACCAUCAAGAUCCGGCAACGCCGAUCAACGGACCGAGUUACCCUAGGGAUAACAGCGCAAUCCUCUUUUAGAGCCCAUAUCGACRAGGGGGUUUACGACCUCGAUGUUGGAUCAGGACAUCCUAAUGGUGCAGCCGCUAUUAAGGGUUCGUUUGUUCAACGAUUAAAGUCCUACGUGAUCUGAGUUCAGAC